Cygnus olor (mute swan) is the source of this 2372-nucleotide long non-coding RNA. RefSeq lists it as uncharacterized. The record is from RefSeq and is a predicted model, not a curated record. Lineage: Eukaryota; Metazoa; Chordata; Aves; Anseriformes; Anatidae. The transcript has 3 exons.
CCCACCUUGAUUCGCAAAUUAUUUUGCCAGACAGGGAACAACCCAGAGUGAAUUUAUUUAACACAUCCCGGUGUUAUGACUAAGUGGGAAGAAAAUCCUCUCUCUGAAGAAAACUAAUUGAAAAUGUAAGUGAUUCCAGCAGGACAGCCCUGCGGUACGCCCUGCCUUGAAAAGUAGAGGCUCGCUCAGUGGUAGCACUGCUAAACAUUCCCCCUUGCUAGAUGAGGUGUUAAAGUGUAUCUCUUCCCCUUUUCGGGAGAUGAAUUAUAAAAUGGUGUGAUCCAGAGCUCCAGCCUGGUUGGAUGAGAGGUGCACGUCGAUUUGUACAACUGAGCCUAUACGUUCCUGGAGCAGCAUGAAGAGGCAUGCUGCUAUUGAAAUUUCAGAUCAUUUUGCAGCUGCAAACUGUAAUAGCAGUAAUAAUAAACCAGAAGCUGUGCUAUCCAUUAAAAAGAACCCCAGACACUCUCACAUGUUUGUUUUGCCUCUGAUUUUAAACAUCCAGCACCAGCUGAACUUCUUGUUCACAAUUCAUUAAAAAUGUCCUGGAUCUUCUCACACACAUGGGUUACUGUGCGUCCCCAGAGAUAAGAGCACGAGAUGGGAGAGGGGACAAAAGUGAGCUCUCGCCUCGCUUAGGUCACCUCCUUAGUGUGACACGAGGUGGUUCGCUCCACCUCGCUGUGUCCCCGCUGCUCAGAGGGCAGGGGGGUGCUGGUGUCCUGCAGGCUGCUGUAAGGCCAGGCUUUUCUGCUGGCAGAAAUCUGCACAGUUUUGAGCUGAGUUGACUUGGGUAGAGCCAACCACAGAUGCUGGCUGAAGGUGUGCACGUCCCGAACCUCUGCGAACGACUGGGAAGCGGCUGUGCAUCGCUGCGUGGCUGCAGCCCUGGCCUGAGCUGCAGCUGAUGAACUUCUCCGAGUCCGGUUGCUGGAGACUCUGAGCUCCUGCAUGGGCAGAGAUGUCCGCAUGAGAAAGCCCCGGGUCUCCUGCUGCUCUCUCAGACAGAAAUGAUUUGCUUCAGGCCACAGGUGCUGGGGUGCUGGAUGCCACCCGAAGCGUUGCGUAGAAGUGUCCCCGUGCUGCGGGUGCUGCGGUUACCACGGCGGUGCCAAAGCAGAGCCCAAGCAGCAGAGAAGGAGGCUCCUGCCUUACCCUGCCGCGGGGCUGCGGUGCUAAUGGGGCCACUGCUCUGCCUCACAGGCCCUGACGAACCUCUAACUUCAUUUUUCAGGCUGCAGAGGAAGAGCAAGAUCUGCGUGAUGGCUUGUGCAGCAGGUGGGUUCACUCCUUGAAGGUCCAUGGGCAAGGAAAGGUUUCGCUCCAGGUUACUCCGGAGCCUUGUGCUAGAAGCUGCCACUGGAAACCACCCCUCCCAAGCCCCCAGUGAACGCCUAAACACCAUUAGUAAGGGUAGGAGGGGAGAGCCGUGCUGGCACUCCUGCAAGCUACAAAUCCACUCACACACUCAGCAGCGACAGCCGGGGAGCAGCUCGGGGAGAGCAGCCGCCCAGCCUCCAGCACGCCCGCAGAAACAGCCCAGCGAUGGGCACCAGCUCCCAAAACGCUCCUCGUGGUCCCUCACCACCAUGCAAUGAGCUGAGCACGGCCAACCAAAAGCUACGCUGGAUUUUGUGAGCCUGAGAAGAGCACUAUAUCCCUGGAAGAGGACGGAAACAUUUAUUUAUCGAUAAUAUUUUUUUGCUUAGCUUUUUUUUUUUUUUUUUUGAAGUGUGCCAAAUUAACACAAGAAUGGCAAUGUUGAUUUUUUUUUUUUAUCUCUACUUUUCAGUGAAUAUGAAUGCUCAACUCUGGCAGGGCUUAACUUUGUGUAUGAAGAGGGAAAAAAAAAUCCUGUGUGCGUCUUUAAUACACAGAUGGUUUCCCAAGCAUUGAGGCAAACUCUUUGUGGGGCCAGCUCAGCCCAGUGGCCUCCCUGGACCCAAACCUCGCCUACAUCAGCUGGGCUUAACCCCACGCACAGCAUCCGAGCGCCUUCUGCAGAUCGGGCAAGCCAGAGACACAUCCAUCACUACAUCUCCAUCAUCUUCAAACUUCAUGAGCUUCUCCUGUCCUCCUUGGCGAAGGAAAACACUCAAGGAAAUAGCAGCAAGCAUAGCCAUUGCUCCUCAUCACCUUUAGAAGCCUCACGGUGGGAUAACAACGUCCAAGGUUGCCCCGGGACCCUGGAAUCACAGCAAAGGAGCUGACCGCAGGCGGACAACCACUGUGAGCGUGCAGGACUUCCGAAUCAGGCCAACAACUGGAUCAGGUCUGAAGAGUCACACCGACCCAGCAACUUGUCUUUAAAUACAUACGGUGUGCUGAGUGGGGGAGUGGGGAUCAGGAAAAAAAACAACAGAAUAAAGAAA